This 491-nucleotide ribosomal RNA is filed under the name uncultured bacterium. RNAcentral describes it as "partial 16S ribosomal RNA". It matches the Rfam family "Bacterial small subunit ribosomal RNA", at positions 28 to 507 of the family's 1533-position model. The record is from RNAcentral.
GACGAACGCUGGCGGCGUGCCUAACACAUGCAAGUUGAGCGACGAACCAGGGCUUGCCCUGGGGCAAAGCAGCGAACGGGUGAGUAACACGUGGGUAACCUACCCCGAUAACCGGGACAACCCGAGGAAACUCGGGCUAAUACCGGAUGUGCUCUGGACUUCGGUUCAGUGCGUAAAGGAAGCUUCGGCCUCCGUAUCGGGAGGGGCCCGCGGCCCAUUAGUUUGUUGGUGAGGUAACGGCUCACCAAGACCGCGAUGGGUAGCUGGUCUGAGAGGACGAUCAGCCACACUGGGACUGAGACACGGCCCAGACUCCUACGGGAGGCAGCAGUGGGGAAUCUUGCGCAAUGCGCGAAAGCGUGACGCAGCAACGCCGCGUGGGGGAAGAAGGCCUUCGGGUUGUAAACCCCUUUCAGGAGGGACGAAGGUUCGGCGGUGAAUAGCCGUCCGGACUGACGGUACCUCCACAAGAAGCCCCGGCUAACUACGUG